This 507-nucleotide ribosomal RNA is filed under the name uncultured bacterium. RNAcentral's name for it is "partial 16S ribosomal RNA". It matches the Rfam family "Bacterial small subunit ribosomal RNA", at positions 28 to 507 of the family's 1533-position model. The record is from RNAcentral.
GACGAACGCUGGCGGCGUGCCUAAUACAUGCAAGUCGAACGCAUUUUCUUUCACCGUAGCUUGCUACACCGAAAGAAAAUGAGUGGCGAACGGGUGAGUAACACGUGGGCAACCUGCCCAUCAGCGGGGGAUAACACUUGGAAACAGGUGCUAAUACCGCAUAAUUCCAUUUACCGCAUGGUAGAGGGAUGAAAGGCGCUUUUGCGUCACUGAUGGAUGGACCCGCGGUGCAUUAGCUAGUUGGUGGGGUAACGGCCUACCAAGGCUGCGAUGCAUAGCCGACCUGAGAGGGUGAUCGGCCACACUGGGACUGAGACACGGCCCAGACUCCUACGGGAGGCAGCAGUAGGGAAUCUUCGGCAAUAGACGCAAGUCUGACCGAGCAACGCCGCGUGAGUGAAGAAGGUUUUCGGAUCGUAAAACUCUGUUGUUAGAGAAGAACAAGGAUGAGAGUGGAAAGUUCAUCCCUUGACGGUAUCUAACCAGAAAGCCACGGCUAACUACGUG